Molecule: long non-coding RNA, 2003 nt
Organism: Daphnia pulicaria
Lineage: Eukaryota; Metazoa; Arthropoda; Branchiopoda; Diplostraca; Daphniidae
Exons: 10
Source: RefSeq, a predicted model, not a curated record
UGCCUCCUUGAACAGUUACAGAGUGGUGGUUGUUGUCCUGUGCUCUUGUCGGACAUGCUUACAGAAGUGUGGGAUGUCAUCAAACUUCUCAACGCUCUGGAUUGGAAAAUAAUUACUUGGUCUGUUUUGCUAGCUUUUGUGUAGUAGUGAAUUUUUUCAACACAUCAUUUGUUCUUUGGAAAUGGCAGAUGAUUUACUUCAAUGGCAAUAUGCUGACAAUAGAAUGGGAACUAGACAUUUCCUUUUCAUAACUCUUGUCUAGCAAGGUUUGUAAUUAUUUGAAUGAGAAUGGUUAUUGGUGUACUUGGUGUACAAGACAUGGCAUCACCUCAAAAUGCACCAAUAAAAAAAAAGUUGUUGCUUAAAUAAAGAAGGUUGGUCCAGUAGCUCCGGCUGAAACCAAGAAAGUGUCCAAAACUUCUGUUACAAUCUGUCAUUUCUGCUUCAAAAGACUCGGAAGUUGGUGUCUGCAAAAGUCCCUCAAAGAUGUGUGUAUUCUUCACAUGAAGCAUCCAGAAGUUUACCACCAUUUGGGCAUGUCACCAUCAAGAGGAUUUCUUCUUCACUGUCUGUAUAAAGAAGCCAAGUUUUCAACUUGACAACUCUAUGGAUGAAUUUAUUUCUACUGAAAGUCAAAUCAAUGCUGCCACAGCCUUUGGACAGGGAAUCUCAACCUCAAACUGUCUGAAUAAGAAUAAGGGAAUAUCCUCCCCUCUUCCUUUAUUAUCUUAUCGCCGCAUCCUUGCUACAAACGAAAGGCUUCUUCUUUUCUCAUUUGUUCAGUGAAUUUGGUAAAAAUGAGAGUCAACAUUAUAAUUACCAAGGCAGCAAACCUAUGCAUAUAGUGUGCAGCUUUUCUCUGUAAUCUCAAUUUUGGGAUCCUUCAAUAGUGGCUCAGUCUGAUCUCGUGAGAGGUGAACAGCAUUCGUUUGAUGGAUCGGAUUGCGGACGGCUCAUUUCACUUCACCUUUCUUGAAAUCCGCGCCCUCGCUUUGUCCUCGUGUACAUUCAUGUGAGGGAGAAUGUAUUCACGAGGACGUUCUUUUCUUCUGGACCCACCUUUACUCUCUGCGGAUGGAACACGAACACCUGAAGAUGUCGAACGAUAAUUUCAAGGUGCCGUCCCACGAUAAUAGGACAAGUGUAUCUUACAAACAGCAGUCGGCGACCGACGGGUUUACCGGAAAUGACAGGAGUCGGAACAAAGUGCUAGAUAACAAGGAUCGAAGUCCACCAUGAAGACUUACGUCCAAUAUGAUCUCAGUUGACCAUUAUACGGCGUCGAAUAUUUCGUUGAUUGUUAGACGGCGUCGAAUAUCUCGUUGAUUGUUAGACGGCGCUGCAGAUUGCGCAAUGGUUUAUGGGUCGACAUAUAGAAUCGAAUUUAUUCACGUCCAGCAAAAAUUAAAGUCUAAGCCGGAACAGUGACCUGUAAAUGGACAUCAGCCGGUCAGGAUCGGUGAUCCAUUCGUCCAAGUACGACAAAGAUGAAAUCAAUUUAUGUUGUCCAUUUGUGAGGCAGUUAUAUAAUUUUGAGACUCCAGAUAAUUUAUAUGAAAUAAUUAACUCGGUUAUCUAACAUUCAUUGUGAUUUGCAAUAGAUCUUGUAUUUUCGUAAAUCAGGGUAAUGUGUGUAGAUACUUGUUCGGGUGUUUUCAAUGCAAGAUACAUAGGUAAUGAAUUUUUAUUCAUAAGGAUUAUUAGUAAGUAGAAAUUAACUAGUAUAAACUUAUCGUUUACUUUGUGUCGCGACAACCGGAUUUCUUUAGUUGCAGGACGGCAAAUUUUGGGCUUCGCGGGUGAUGUCGCACCAGUUCCAUUGGACGCCAGAAACCAAAGUAGUCGGGCAGUUCUGCAAAAGAACCCGACAGCUGAUUUUCGUUUGCCGUGAUCAUAGUGGUAAUAACCGCUUCAGUGGUGGUCGGUGGCUCCGUCGUGGUGGUCACGACCGGAUGCAUUUCAUCGAUAACAAGUUCUUCGAUUGGAUCUUCGUCUUCCCAAUA